This 25-nucleotide non-coding RNA is filed under the name Mus musculus (house mouse). Lineage: Eukaryota; Metazoa; Chordata; Mammalia; Rodentia; Muridae. The record is from RNAcentral.
UAUAAGCUUGCAAUCCCACCAACAA